Molecule: ribosomal RNA, 770 nt
Filed under: Bacillus cereus
Lineage: Bacteria; Bacillati; Bacillota; Bacilli; Caryophanales; Bacillaceae
Description: bacterial SSU rRNA
Rfam family: Bacterial small subunit ribosomal RNA
Source: RNAcentral
GGGCGUGCGGGUGCUAAUACAUGCAAGUCGAGCGAAUGGAUUAAGAGCUUGCUCUUAUGAAGUUAGCGGCGGACGGGUGAGUAACACGUGGGUAACCUGCCCAUAAGACUGGGAUAACUCCGGGAAACCGGGGCUAAUACCGGAUAACAUUUUGAACUGCAUGGUUCGAAAUUGAAAGGCGGCUUCGGCUGUCACUUAUGGAUGGACCCGCGUCGCAUUAGCUAGUUGGUGAGGUAACGGCUCACCAAGGCAACGAUGCGUAGCCGACCUGAGAGGGUGAUCGGCCACACUGGGACUGAGACACGGCCCAGACUCCUACGGGAGGCAGCAGUAGGGAAUCUUCCGCAAUGGACGAAAGUCUGACGGAGCAACGCCGCGUGAGUGAUGAAGGCUUUCGGGUCGUAAAACUCUGUUGUUAGGGAAGAACAAGUGCUAGUUGAAUAAGCUGGCACCUUGACGGUACCUAACCAGAAAGCCACGGCUAACUACGUGCCAGCAGCCGCGGUAAUACGUAGGUGGCAAGCGUUAUCCGGAAUUAUUGGGCGUAAAGCGCGCGCAGGUGGUUUCUUAAGUCUGAUGUGAAAGCCCACGGCUCAACCGUGGAGGGUCAUUGGAAACUGGGAGACUUGAGUGCAGAAGAGGAAAGUGGAAUUCCAUGUGUAGCGGUGAAAUGCGUAGAGAUAUGGAGGAACACCAGUGGCGAAGGCGACUUUCUGGUCUGUAACUGACACUGAGGCGCGAAAGCGUGGGGAGCAAACAGGAUUAGAUAC